RNAcentral lists this transfer RNA (72 nucleotides) under Dipodomys ordii (Ord's kangaroo rat). It matches the Rfam family "tRNA". Rfam says of the family: Transfer RNA (tRNA) molecules are approximately 80 nucleotides in length. Their secondary structure includes four short double-helical elements and three loops (D, anti-codon, and T loops). Further hydrogen bonds mediate the characteristic L-shaped molecular structure. tRNAs have two regions of fundamental functional importance: the anti-codon, which is responsible for specific mRNA codon recognition, and the 3' end, to which the tRNAs corresponding amino acid is attached (by aminoacyl-tRNA synthetases). tRNAs cope with the degeneracy of the genetic code in two manners: having more than one tRNA (with a specific anti-codon) for a particular amino acid; and 'wobble' base-pairing, i.e. permitting non-standard base-pairing at the 3rd anti-codon position. Lineage: Eukaryota; Metazoa; Chordata; Mammalia; Rodentia; Heteromyidae. The record is from Rfam by way of RNAcentral.
GGUAGUGUAGCUCAGGGAUAGAGUGCCUGCUUCUCAAGUGUGAGGCACUGAGUUCAAUCCCCUGCACCUCCA